This is a long non-coding RNA of Populus nigra (black poplar), 2061 nucleotides long. RefSeq lists it as uncharacterized. NCBI's taxonomy places the organism in Eukaryota, Viridiplantae, Streptophyta, Magnoliopsida, Malpighiales, Salicaceae. The transcript is spliced from 3 exons. The record is from RefSeq and is a predicted model, not a curated record.
ACUGUUUUUUCAACUCUGUUCAUUAAUACCUUCUAUCUUUUAGCUACCCCGUUUCAUAUUUUCAAUAUUUAAUUUCUUUUCACUAGGAAAUAUUAUUUACCAUCCACCUUGCAACCCCAUUUCUUUUACAUCAUAGUAAAAAAAUCUCAAAUCUGGCACCCUCAUUAAUUUCCUUUUCCCCCCCUUAACUUGGCAUUGAACUUGGUGGACAUUGUUUAUAUGAGGGUUCUCAGAGAAAGAGAUGGCAUUCCUGAUCUUAGGCGAGCUGCUCGGUUUCGCUAUGCAAGUGUAACUCUACCAGAGGUUGAUGGCCCAGUAAGGAAGCUUUUAAAGGGUGGACGAGAUCUUGAUGACAUCUUAACUGCUGCAGUCAUUCCAAACCUUGAAAGCUGUACAGGUAUAGCUUUAUGUUUUAAGAGCUUUGAUAUAACUAUUGUUUAUGCAUGCCGUCAUUGUUUCGAGACAUUCAGAAAAAUGAGAAUUCUGAGUAGUGCAAGAAAGAAAGGAAAUUCUUUGGGGGGAGGGAUUUGGGCUUGGUUUAAUCAAUGUUGUGUGUUUUAGCAUCACUGGCCUCCGAGGACACAAUAAAUUGUUUUGGUAUUACCAUAUGUAGUAUAGUUGCUACAUCACAAUCUCCUGAGAGUUCCAUGUUUAAAUUCUGAAGCAGGAACAUUGUCUCAGAGAUUUUUUUGUUCUUAUACUAGUAGGACAGGUACCAGGUAAUAGUUAUGGAUGCUGAUGGUUCUCGUUCUAAAGGCAUCGCUAGAUCCUUGAGAAAGCUUGGGGUUAAGGCAAGUAUUUGGAAUCUCUAAUAUUUUUUUUAUUACACAAAAGCCUAAACAUCUAAUUGAUCAUGGAACUAGAAGGGCAAAAUGAAUUUAUCCACUCUCCCUUAGUCAAGUUUCUUUGGGAUAAAAAACAUUUCUGAGAGUUUUUCCGUAUCAGUAACCCUUAGAAACAAAUAACAAUAUCCAUAUUAACCAGAUUUGGGAAGAGCACGUUAAUGUCUUUUAUGCAUUUACAAUGUUGUUAAGUCAAAAACUGUUACUCCUUAUGCAUGUUUUUCUGUCGUAUAGAUGCUAUAGAUAGAACCUGAUUUUCAUUCUUGUUGUUCUCAAGUGGUAUAAUUUAGAAAGCGCAUUAGUAUUACAUCUAACUUAUGUCCUUAAAAUAUCUCUCUCUCUCUCUCUUGCUUGCCUGAAUGGGAAUUUGCAAUGUAUUGAUCAAUUUCAAUAUUCUUUUAUUUCACUCCAUAGAUUGCUGGGCUGUAUUGUUGUGUGAAUGGCUUGCAGAGAAACAAGUUAAAUGCACGAAUACUAGAUGAUACCAUGGUUCAUUCCCUAAUCAUAUAAUUUAGAUAGAGAAGAUAGUAGAAUGUUGCAGAAUUAAACCUUGUGACCUGCAUUAUAAGAAAAUUUGCACUGCCAGGUGAGUCUAUUGUUAAUCCGGAACCACAACCUAUUGUAUCAUAUUGCUAAUUGUUUGUUUGCAUUUUUAUGUGACAGAGACCAUACUUGGUCCAAGGUGCUUUCCAGUCUUGGGUAAAAUAAGGUAUCCAAGUCAAGGAGCUUAAACCUGAGACUCUGUAACCAUACUUAAUGAGUGAUAAUAAGUAAGGACCCAUGUCUGGCAUGAAUUUGUGGCUCGCACCAUCUCCAUGGUCUCAAGAAACCAGUCAAAAUGUGUUAGCUUUAUUGUUAUUGGAUUAGUCUACACUCUAACGGUGAAUUCAUCAAGCAAUGUCUCAUGGGGCAUCCAUUUUGAAAGGAAAAGGGAUUAGUUACAGAGCUUUUGGCAUUUCCCACUGUGCUAGCCUACCAACGACUCAACUGACACUGGAGAGGAGCGAGAGCAGUAGAAGAGGCUAGAGUUAAACCUGCGAACCACUCCCAAUUGGUAUAGAACCGCCUUUCCUGAUAUAACCAAUUUAUCAACAAAAGACUGCAAAAUUGAAGAGUUAAGCAACAAAAGCACUCCCCAUUCUGACGACCUUAUUUGUAUCAUGUACUCAAAUAUUUUCCAAGAAAAGGACCAAUGACAUGCGAAUUCAGAUUAUAGUUA